Oryza sativa Japonica Group (Japanese rice) is the source of this 4956-nucleotide non-coding RNA. The record is from RefSeq and is a predicted model, not a curated record. Lineage: Eukaryota; Viridiplantae; Streptophyta; Magnoliopsida; Poales; Poaceae.
CAGGGCGGUUCGGCCGCGCGCCGCGGGCAGCCACCCGCCGCAGCGCGACCGCUCGCGGACGGAUCCCCUCCCCUCCCCUAAUCUCGCCAUGCCUUUCCCCACCACCACCGCCCCCCCGGGGCCUUCCCGGCCCCGCCCUCACCCUAGCCAGCGCCACGCCGCCAGUAGCGGUAGCAUUAGCCGUAGAGGAAGGCUAGGACGCAUAGGAAGAACAGGAGGAGGAGGAGGAGGAGGAGGAGGAGAGGUGGGGGGUAGGAGGACGGAGGAGGAGGAGGCAGGCUGCCCGCGAUGCUGCGGCGCGCGGCGAGCAACGCCUACUCGUGGUGGUGGGCGAGCCACAUCCGCACCACCCAGUCCAAAUGGCUCGACAACAACGUCCAAGAGAUGGAGAUAAGGGUGAAGGCCAUGAUCAAACUCAUAGAUAUAGAGGCUGAUACAUUUGCAAGGAAGGCAGACCUAUACUUCAAGAGCAGGCCCGAUCUUAUAAACCAUGUAGAGGAGACAUAUAGAUCUUACCAGGCGCUUGCUGAUAGAUAUGACCGGGUAUCAGGGGAGCUUCACAAGUCCAACCACACCAUAGCAACUGCAUUUCCGGAGCAAGUCCAGCUCUCUCUGCAAGAUGACAAUGGUGAUGGUUUCCCAAAAGGUAUCACAGGGAUUAAUAUCAACAGAGGAACCAGCGCAGCUCCAAAGAGGACGCAAACACAUAAAAAGAUCAGCUCUAAGAUGAGUAAAGACAAGGCACAAGAAGAGAUUGAGAGGCUACAGAAGAAAAUCCUUGUCUUGCAGACUGAAAAGGAAUUCUUCAAGAGCUCAUAUGAAUCUUCGCUGAACAAGUAUUUGAGCAUUGAAAGACAGGCGGCAGAGAUGCAAGAGGAGGUAUGGAGCUUGCAGGAGACUUUUAGCACCAGCGCAGUUAUUGAAGACAAUGAAGCUCGAGCUUUAAUGGCUGCACAAGCCCUUAUUUCUUGCGAGGAUAAAUUGGCUAGCUUGCAUUGUGAGCAAAAGAGAUCAUAUGAAGAGACAACCAUGGAGAUUCAAAGAGUCAUAGAUGCAAAGAAGAAGAUAACGAUUUUCAAGAGCGAGUGUGGGUAUCCUGAUGAUCAGAAGGACCUACCUAAUCACCAAGACAUAGAGUUCAGCUCUAUACCUUCAUCUAUAGAGGAUAGUGAUCUAAUUAUGAAAGACUGCAAGCUCGAGCUGCAGGAAUUAUCACAAAAGGUCAAACAAAAGUUUGAGUCGUCCUCAGAGGCGUCCGCGGUGCAUCUAGCCGGACAGGUUGAUGAAAUUGUGGAUAAGGUCAUCAGCCUAGAAAUUGCAGCUUCUUCACAAAAUGCUCAAAUCAAUAGAAUGAAAAAUGAGGCAGACGAACUACAGAAGCGCCUGGAUAGCUUAGAGGACGAGAAGGCAGCUUUGAUUGAGGAUUCUAGCAAGUUGUCUGAAAGAUUGAAGCAAGUUGAGGAGGUUCUGCAGACAAUUCAGCGGAUUGGAAAGUCUGUGCACAGUGAGAAUGGAAAUAUUCACCAGCAACUAACUGAAGUAGAUGACAGUCUUAAUGAUUUUGUAAAGAAGUUGGAUGCACAUUCCACUGAUGAAAUAGUAAAUUCAUCACAAGAUGAUUCCGGAAUUGCAUGCAAAUCAAAAGAUGAAGGAUUAUUGGAUGCAUUAGAUGACUCUAGCAAGGCACAUAAGGAAGAGCCAGAUGAAACUUUAGGGUGGCAACAACUAGAUUUGAAUGGGCUAGAGGAUAAGGAUAAAAUUCUCUUAAAAGAUUAUGCAUCCAUCCUUCGUAACUACAAAGAUACGCAGAAACAGCUUUUAGAAAUUGAGAAGAGAAAUCGAGAAUAUCAUCUCGAGGCAAUGUCAGAGAUGAAUGAGUUAAAGAGUUCCAGUGCAACAAAAGAUGAUGAGAUUCGCUCUCUCAGACGAAUGUUGAGCUCUUUACAAACCAAGCUCAACAAUUCUCUACCUCAGCGUUUUGUGGAGUCUGAAGAAUCAUCUGAAGCAAAUGCCUCUCCUAGUCUUGAAAACAAAAAUAUUGCUGAGACAGAAGAAUACAUGAAGAUACGUGAACAUGAAGAACCACAUGACCCAUCAUUGGAAGAUAAAUUCAGAGCAGAAAUUAGCAGAAUACUGGAGGAAAACCUGGACUUCUGGUUGAGAUUCAGUACAUCAUAUCAUUAUAUGCAGAAGUUCCAGAAAUCAUUUGAUAAAGCAAAAGCUGAGAUGGAUAAACUUACAGAUGCCAAAGCGCAGGAAGGCUCAGAUGCUGUGCCUUCUUGUCAGUCAGCUAGAAAACAAGAGUCAGCUGUGCUUGAAAAGAAGUUGCGUGGCUUGAGCACUGAUCUGCAGGUAUGGUUGGAAAAGAAUGUGCUGCUACAAGGGGAACUAGAGAGUAGAUUCUCAUUGCUGUGCAGCAUAGAAGAGGAGAUAUCAAAGAUCACAGCAUUGGGCCAAACUGAUGAAGCUCAUUUCACUCCUUUCCAGGCUGCAAAGUUCCAAGGAGAGGUGAGCAGUAUGAAGCAAGAGAACAGCAAGGUUACCAAAGAGCUACAAACUGGGAUGGACCAUGUGAGGAGCCUCCAAGUGGAGGUUGGGAGGGCUCUUUUGAAGCUGAGAGAGAAUAUUGAACUGUCUAUAGGAAGAAGAAACCGAACACAACAUAGCUUCAGAUCUCUGUCAAUGAAAGCUGGAGUACCUCUUCGAACUUUCCUAUUUGGUAGUAAGCCAAAGAAAGCAUCGCUCUUUUCGUGCAUGGGUCCUGUGAUGCCAAAGCCAGUUGCUGACAUGAGGGCAGGGCCUUUUGGAUGAGACUGGCAGUGCGAUCUUGGAGAAGCCUCAUGUUAUCAACAAGUCUUACUUUCAAAUGAAAAACAAGUGACAAUGACUUUCUGCAUGCAGUCAUGGAGGGCAUCUGUAAAGUGGCAUCGUUAUAGAUAAGCAUGUGAAGACUUCAUCAUGUUUGGUUGAUGCCCCUCUAAGUCAAACUGCAUCUCUUUGGUCUUUUCUGUUGACAUCAGUUAAAGAAGCUCAUGUCUGCUCCUCGUUAGCGCAUGCCUGAGCUAACAGAGGCUAUGGAUAAAUUUUAAAUCCUGGUGGGUGGUCAUGCACUACACCACCCUAACAAGAUAUGGUUUAUCGAUAUUGCGAGCUAAAGAAAUAUGAAAUGGACUGACUGGACAUGCUAAGAUGCCAGAUUUGAAUCUCAUAAAGCUCAUCCAAAUGUUGUAGGUCUGAAUCUACUUCCGAUAAAACUUCGAGGUGAAAUACAUUGCUUUAAAUCAUUUUAUCGUAUGACUAUUGAGUGGUCCUUAGCUCCUUAUUGAAAUGCUCCAUAGUUGUUUUAUCGUUCUAUAAUUGCAUAGUACUUUAAGUACACGACUGCAACAGUACUACAAAAUUGUUGCUCGAUGAGCUAGUUUAGAAGUUGUAUAUAUUGUUUAUUUUAAACAUAGUUCUGCAAGAACAGAGGCCUGAAAUGAGUGUGCAAGAUGAUGGGCGUCCCAGAAACUCCAAGCCUAACAGGUCAACUUCUGAAGCUGCUUUCAAGUCCUGCCUAUGUCUAUCCAGUUGUUCAGUUUAGGAACCUUGUAGUAUAGGACAAUCACUCUGCAUUUUUAGGUUAUAGUCAACGUUGGUUACAGAACCUUAUGAAUUAUGACUGUAUUCUUAGAUUUUUUACAGGAAAAAUGGAAACAGAAUUAAGGCAUUAUCUGCAACAGACUAUGAUUGUGUAGCUAAAUGUAGUCUGCAACUAUGCAUGAAUAAACUAAGUUGAAUGUUCCAGGCCAAAAUGAUAGAAAUUUGUAAACUUAAGGAAAUAUCUAAAUGACUACCAUGAUCAACUGACAAAUUUUUAGAUUUAAUUGUACAAGUUAUUUGUUAAAGCAUGGCUUUAAGACAUAAUUUUUAACAUGUAGACAGUUCAAGUAGCAGUAUACAUUGAAAGAUGGAAGCAUUUGGAGUAUAGCGUGAGGUUAGAAGGAUCAAUAAUUAAGUUAAAUCAAUAAAAGAAUACUAGUCCAUGCAAGUACACUAACUGACUUACAUCUCCUUUUGACAACUUAAAAAGAAAGAUCACCUGUUCUAGUCACACCGUGCUUGUUGCAAUUCCAUGCACGCGUUUGUUUCAUGAGUAAACAGUCUUAGCUAACCCAUCAUCUUAACCACCCUGUUCAGUACUUUUCUUCUGCCUUAAGAGGCGAGUGAUGGGAUUUCCUCUUCUUUUUUUUCCCUAGUCCUCUCAUAUAAUGCAAAUCGUGCAACAAUGAACCCUAUAAGAUCUUUGAAAAUGGCAUAUAUACAACUAUACAAGUAUCUCUGUAUCAAACUGUAUUGGAAUAUUGGAGGGAAAGCAUCUAGUUUUCUUUUAAAAAAGCAUCUCUAGUUUAUCUAAUAGCAGCACUACAUACAUCUCAUUCUCAUGGGCUACGUACAUGGACGUUGGUACAGCACAAAAGAUAAGGAACACUAGGUGGAGCACUGGAGCUCUAGCCGAUUCGAUGUUAAAGUUUGGCAUGUUGAGACAGGUGAUCAGAGUCUGCUUCUGGCAAGCAGCAUAUCUUUGUCUAACUACAUAAGUGGAUUUAAUUGGCAAUAUGUGACGUGAAGUCAAAGGUCAAAACAUGGGGGUUCUAAAAGAUUGGUGCUGUGUUUGACAGGUGCUGUCAAAGUUUGUCAACAAGUGUAUUUGGGUAAGGCCUUAUUUCUGUUUCUGUUUGUCGAUUUGCUUAGAAGUUUUCAAUUACCUAAUUUCUCUCAUUUUAUGGUGUGCUUGCUUAAAAUUGGAAACACGCAUACGGCAUACCCAGUGAAUCAUCUUGUUUAUGUUUCCUGCCGUGAAAACAAAAUUGCUCUGAACGUACUUGCCGACGUUCCAUACACGCAAAAAUAUCUUUCAGUAAGCUGUACCUCCGUACCCUAUUGAUCUGAUUUUAUACAGAAAGGUCCCUGGCA